CGAUUUGCUGCCUGACCUUGUUGGUGCCUGUGAUGAUGAUUAUACAGCAUUGUGCAUGCCAUUAAAGGGGAGGGGAGGAACUUGAGAGGAGAUCUUAGGGCCCUAGUCCUGGCCACAGAGUCUCCUUGCAGCCCAAGACAGAAGCUGAUGAUUCACAGUAGAGAAGAAGUGAAUAUUCCAGUUCAUUUUAUCUUCAAACAGCUAAUUGGAUUAGCUACUAUCACCCGAAUUUUACACCAAGAAAACUGAUGAUCAGAGAAAUAAAGCCAAGUUCCUAGGACCACAAAGUGGGUAAGAGGCAGAGCAGGAUUUAAACCCAGAUUUGUUUGACUUCAAAGCUUAUGCUUUUUCACUAUUUCUCCUCACACCCACUGACCCCACAAUGUCUCAUAAGGGGAUCUGCAAGGCAGCCCUAAAUUCCAAGCAGGACAUGUAACUCCUCAAUGGACAAAUGGACACUGGACCCUGGUUGAAGGAACCUGUUGUUCUUAUGGUGGAGGGCAGAAACCCAAGAGGGCUGGAGCCAAUCCAUGGAUUCUUCACCCAUGGUUGCUUAGGUUUAUAAGCAAGGAAGCUGAAUGAAGUCCCUUUCCUCUCUGGAUGAGCCCCUGGGUUUCUGGAAGAGUCUUAAAAUCACCCCUAAAUGGCUUCCAAGCACUGAAGCCCGAGAUGUUAGCUGGCCUGUGUGAGGCCUUGAGACAGAAUGCCACAGCCACACCCCAAGGAUGCUGAAGGGGAUUUCCCUCCUCUGUGGUUUUUCUCCUUUCUUCCCGCAGCACUCCUCCUACGUGCUAACAUCUUCUAGUCAAACAACUCUCCUUUUCAAAGGGACCAGGCACAGUUUCUGCUUAUCCCUGAGUAGCAGUGUUCAGUUUCCUGCCAGCCUGUGGAGUUUUUCAAACAAGCCAAUCACCUCCUCCUGUGGGAACUGAGAAGCACCCCACCCUCUCGAUACUACAAAGCCCCUGCUUGUUCCCUAGUGCAACUCCCAUGUGGUCCUGUGGAGCAUAUGGUAUCUUCCUCUUCUGGGCAGUGAGCAUAUGUGACUAAUAAACUAUCUAUCUCAUCUGUUCAGUGCCAGGUGUCAUUUGUUCUGCCAUCCCAUGACCUAGGGUGGGGAUUCCUUCCACACCAACAGGGUGAAUGCAAGGUGAUUAAAACAAGAAGCCUCUUCAGGAUCUAUAUCCUAGGGAAAAAAUUAAACAACAACAACAAAACAAGAAGCUUCAACUCUGACCCUGUAUUCCAGAUGUGUUACAGGGGCCUGUCUCCCCAGAGCCACUCUCCAGGUCAGAGCUUACCUCCCCUUGCUCAGGGUUAGGAGCUCUGGGCAGGAAAAGGACAUCAUGUUAAAA
Molecule: long non-coding RNA, 1355 nt
Filed under: Homo sapiens (human)
Lineage: Eukaryota; Metazoa; Chordata; Mammalia; Primates; Hominidae
Description: HSALNT0016865
Source: RNAcentral